Long non-coding RNA from Polypterus senegalus (gray bichir), 247 nucleotides. RefSeq lists it as uncharacterized. NCBI's taxonomy places the organism in Eukaryota, Metazoa, Chordata, Cladistia, Polypteriformes, Polypteridae. The transcript is spliced from 4 exons. The record is from RefSeq and is a predicted model, not a curated record.
GAGACCUCAACCUCUGAGACAAUCACCAUGUUUGCUGUGAAAGCAGUUUGCCUCCUUGCCACCGUAGCUCUGCUUGUUGCAAUGGUGGCUGCGGCCCCUCAGAGUGAGAACCGUUGUGAAUGGCGGGGUAUGUAUCAGAUCAUUUGUCUCAAACAAUUUGGAUGAAGAGACAUCAAGCAUCCACUGAAGACUUCAAUCACUAAAAAAACAAUGUGGUCAAAUUAAAUAAAGUAUUCAUGCAUAUGUA